AGAGGAGUUCGCGGGAGCCUCCCAACGAGGCUGAGAGGGCGUAAGAGCCGACCGUCAGACCUGAUGCGGAUCAUGCCGCCGGAGGGAGAAGCUUUGAACGUCAU
This 104-nucleotide non-coding RNA is filed under the name Brevibacterium linens. Its description in RNAcentral is "TPP sequence". It matches the Rfam family "TPP riboswitch aptamer (THI element)". Rfam says of the family: Vitamin B(1) in its active form thiamin pyrophosphate (TPP) is an essential coenzyme that is synthesised by coupling of pyrimidine and thiazole moieties in bacteria. The previously detected thiamin-regulatory element, thi box was extended, resulting in a new, highly conserved RNA secondary structure, the THI element, which is widely distributed in eubacteria and also occurs in some archaea. The record is from Rfam by way of RNAcentral. Lineage: Bacteria; Bacillati; Actinomycetota; Actinomycetes; Micrococcales; Brevibacteriaceae.